CAAGGGAACAUAUAUCCAUCCAUUGUGUACUGAAUCGCGCACCGUGUUAACCCUGCGCUGGGGGAAAAUAUAAGCAGGCGCGCAAAGUUGAUCUUUGUAUCUUUGUUGAUCUCUUUCUUCUUACCUGAGGAAAACCCGGAUCGAGACGAUCGAGUCUGACUGGCUUGCUUGGCUGGCUGGCUGUGCUAUUUAGGCGGUCCAUGGUGUUUUGAUGCUAAUAGCACGUUGAUAUAUAUAUAUAUAUAUAUAUAUAUAUAUACAGGGAGGGAUAGGAGUAUGUGCGAGGACUUGGCUUUCUUGGAAAAAUAUCGUUAAAUAAGUGUGGACGGUGGAGGGCGCGUAUAUAUAUCUCUAUAUCGGUAUAUGUAUAUAUACAUCUAUACGUGCACGCACUCACAUCAAAAGAGCGAGAGUGAGACCCUGACCCUGACCCUGACCCUCCGCAUAUACAUACAUCCUUUUCCGGUAAAGAUUCAAAGAGGAGAAUAAAAAGAAAGAACAUGGCACGACUCAGCCGCACCGCGCCUAAGCCCGUGGUGGAUACCAGAGGAGAAGAUUCCGACAUUGACGAUACGCACAGCACCAAUACAAACACCAAGUCUGUGUACAGCUACAACUACGCCGAUGAAGACAAGUCGUGGGCGGAAGCCCGGGCGCGCCGUGGGGGGACCUCUCGCACCCUGAAGGCAGCCACCACAACCACCAGCUCUACAAACGCAAACGCAAACGCAGGCGCAGGCGCAGCAAGAAGGGGAAAACAGCAAAACGCCCUGGCCGACGCCCGAAGCCCAACCAAGACUAAGACCAAACCCACACCCAAGACAGGUACAAGCACAGGCACAGGCAUAGGUUCUAAUACCAAAACCACCCCUGACGUGGAGGAUGUCGUCGCAACGCACACUGAAACCCUUAUUAGCCCAGCACAACUUCCAAGAAGCACCGGUCACAGACAACGUCGACGCCAGCUGGGCCGUGGGCACUCUGAUGUCCUCCUCAUGCCGUUCUCGGCACCGACGCACGCGGAGACGGUGAUUGGUAAGUAUGAUGGUUCGACGCCUGGGCGCGGACUGGGAGAUGUGGAAAUUGCGCCGUUGCCGGAGCAGUUGGAGG
RNAcentral lists this small RNA (1110 nucleotides) under Histoplasma ohiense. RNAcentral's name for it is "hypothetical lncRNA". Lineage: Eukaryota; Fungi; Ascomycota; Eurotiomycetes; Onygenales; Ajellomycetaceae. The record is from RNAcentral.